Polyodon spathula (Mississippi paddlefish) is the source of this 2248-nucleotide long non-coding RNA. RefSeq lists it as uncharacterized. The record is from RefSeq and is a predicted model, not a curated record. Lineage: Eukaryota; Metazoa; Chordata; Actinopteri; Acipenseriformes; Polyodontidae. The transcript is spliced from 3 exons.
GAGUAGAAACAUGCUUUAAGCGUGUGGAGUUUAUUUUGUCUAGUAUUUUUGGUAUAAACAUUUUCCCUGUUUGUUUUUUUCUAGGUUUGGGUUAAGAAUUUAGACUUUAUUUUCGCGAGGCCUAGAGGCAGUUGUCCAAUUUCUGCUGUCAAAGUUUUUAACCUGUGAGUUAUUUAAAAAAGAAAAUGUAAAUGAUUUUGUUGUCGUUGAUGUGGCAGCAUCUAAUAUUUCUCCAUGUCUUUAGUUGGCUGUGUUUUCUGUGUGCCUGCAAUAUCCUGUUUAGUUUGUCUCGCCUUUGUUCGACGCUGUUAGGUGUUUCUUGGCACUUGGCAUGCCAUCUAAUGAAAGAGUUAAAGGAACUUGGCAGCCUAGACUGUGGUUUGAAAGCAAAUCUGUUCAUUUAAAUGCAGGAAGAAAAAAAAAAGUUGCAGAUGGCCUCAUGGCUUUAUAAAUUUACAUUCUUGCGCCCUUUAAAAGUUGCUCACCCUUUAAGUAUUAAUUUAGCAAUCUUAAAAAUAUUUUCACGUGGUCACAAUCGUCGGGUUAUAAUCUUGGAGUUAUUUUUUUUUCUGCUAAAAAAAGACGCCAAUAGUUGAGUUUGUAGUUUUAACAACUGGGGGCCGAUGCUGUAAGAGGACGGAAAUGUGUAUAAAGGCUAACCACAGGCCUGACUGUUGCAUUUGCUGUCAGAGGAGCUGUCAAUCAGAACUUGAGACACAGCUGCAAAGAUGAUCAUUUUAAUCCAACCCCACCCCUCCCCACCAUCACCACCAAAAAAAAAAAAUAAGUACAUCACAUUUCUGCAUGAGACGUCGUCUCUCUCUAAAACGGGCGAUGGACAUUUUUGAGAUAGCGAGGGUUUCAGCCGAGAACCAUUUUGGGAAAGAAAAAGUAAUAGUUCCCUUUUAUACGUGGCACAGGGCGGAUCGCAAGCAGAGAAAUGGUAAUCUGUCAUUGUGUACCAGCUGCUGCAGAAAUACCUCUGUGAUGCACAAGGGCAAAAGGGUAGUGCUGGCAUGUUAGUAAAAGCUAGACUGAAACGCAGAGCACUCCAGUUCUUUUUUAAAUAUUAUUAUUAUUAUUAUUAUUAUUAUUAUUAUUAUUAUUAUUAUUAUUAUUAUUAUUAUUAACCGUUUAACUAUCUAGCUUUUGUUUUCAGCCGUAGCUUAGUUCUUUCUCGUUUUAGAAAGGAGGAGUGUUUUUUAUGGCGGCCGUGCUGUUAAUAUGAAUCAUAGGCUGUUAUUCGAGGAAGGGAAAAAGAGGAGACAAAGACGCUGUCCGAACUUGGCAGCCGAUGGAAGUCGAGUGACAGCCAAGAAUCCUGCUGUGGUACAAGGAGAGGGGAAAAAAAAAAAAAAACACGUCCUAUAGCCCAGUUCAAAUAGAACUCUAGCAACAGUGACUGCAACUUGAGCAAAUCUUCGGGUUCGCUUUUUAUUAAACAGAAAUCCUGGCUCCUUUCCGGGUGACAGGGUAAAUAUAUCAACACGUAUGGAAUGAAGCGGUGGACCUUUGUUUGUUUGUUUUCUGCUGUGCCUAGCCUCUUUGUAUUUUAGACUCCAGCAUCAGCAACCUCUGCUACAAUUGUUUGUUCAUGUUAGGGAGUGGAGCAAAAAUGUAAAAAAAAAAAAAAGAAAAGAAGGCGAAGAUAGUGACUGUAAAGUAAUUGUGCUUGUUUUGUGUUUCUUGUUUCAGAACCUGUUCACUACAGGCUCGGCCUAGUUCUUCACGCCGUCCGGACUCCAUUUUGCUGCAGUGAGCCACGGCACCUCUCGACUGGGUUCGCACGCCUGAUUUGGCCUGACAUCACGAUCGACACUGCUGCUAGCUGCCUGCCGACUGCUCCAGAAAGCAGCCUCUCUUCACUUCCAAAAAGGGUGAGUUCCUGACUGACUUGUUCUUCCAUUUUUCUACCCUCCAACAUGUGUUGCCGGUGCUUGUCAUUUAGCUGUUUAAACCUGAAAUGUUUGGUUUUGCAUGAUUUGUGGCGCAGCCUUUUUAAGGGUUCUGCCUCCACUGUUGUUACAAUGUCCCGAUCCUUUUUAUUAUUAUUAUUAUUUAUUUUUUAUCUAUCUCAGCUUGACAGAAACACUGCAAUGUUGAGCUGCAGCCGACAAGCAAGGGAGAAUGUUUGAAUAGAGAAUGCUUAGCAGUGGCGCACCUGAGCUUCUGAAUCCAAACCCUACAGUGUAAUGACCAUGCUCGUAGUAAAUGCUGCAUUGUUUAGUCUGGGUGGUGGUGGGGAGGG